This 100-nucleotide signal recognition particle RNA is filed under the name Candidatus Entotheonella factor. Its description in RNAcentral is "Candidatus Entotheonella sp. TSY1 Bacterial small signal recognition particle RNA". It matches the Rfam family "Bacterial small signal recognition particle RNA". Rfam says of the family: The signal recognition particle (SRP) is a universally conserved ribonucleoprotein involved in the co-translational targeting of proteins to membranes. Lineage: Bacteria; Pseudomonadati; Candidatus Tectimicrobiota; Candidatus Entotheonellia; Candidatus Entotheonellales; Candidatus Entotheonellaceae. The record is from Rfam by way of RNAcentral.
GGUUGGGUCCCGUGCGACAGAGCGUUGUGAACCCGGUCAGGUCCGGAAGGAAGCAGCCGUAAACAAAUGUCUCUGGGUGUUGCGGGGUUGCCUGAUCUGA